UGCGGUUGUGGUGGCCAAGACUUCGUAACGUGUAUUCAGUUGAAUGUCGUUAAUUUUUUAGCCUCAACUACCUGUUUUUCAUGUCAAUUCAUUUGUUGCAACCAUUGUACCUCUCACGAUUUCUUUGAGUGGCGGGGUCGUCGUCAAAACAGGAGCCUCUCACAGCAACGUUGGUCGAGCUUAUGACAUGAUAGAAAAAUCAAUAAUCCAUCUCUGCUGAAGGGUCCUUAUGCGGCUUCGGCAUCGUUGAUCAUAAAUAGAGAAGAACGAUUGUCAUCCUCACCAAGAGCUUCGAUGGCACGUUAUCGUGCUAACUUACGACCAUCGAGAGCUCUUCACAAGUCUGCUUUGUUUGAAAAGAAUGGCUGCAUGUGAGUUAUCAUCGAACAAGAAUUUCUGAAUUUAGGAGCAGCUUCCGUGAUGAGCACCUCAGAUAAGUCAGAAGGAACGAAAUUUGUCGGAGUGGAAUGCUUCUUCAAAUAUUUCAAGACCUUCCCGUUUGUGGCUCGCAUAGAAAUGAUUUAUUGGUUUCUCCUCGAUUAUCAUUUUUAAGACAUGAAGACGUAAAUAGAUUUGGUGCUGUUAUGGAUAUUAUAUUGCAAAAAUAUUUCCGAUAAGUCAUUAUAAAUGAUGACAAGUUAACUCACGGAUA
Long non-coding RNA from Hyalella azteca, 652 nucleotides. RefSeq lists it as uncharacterized. The record is from RefSeq and is a predicted model, not a curated record. Lineage: Eukaryota; Metazoa; Arthropoda; Malacostraca; Amphipoda; Hyalellidae. The transcript has 3 exons.